CUGGGCCUGCCAACCGAGCCAGGGCCGGAAAGCAGC
RNAcentral lists this non-coding RNA (36 nucleotides) under Alexandrium margalefii. The record is from RNAcentral. Lineage: Eukaryota; Dinophyceae; Gonyaulacales; Pyrocystaceae.